Molecule: ribosomal RNA, 465 nt
Filed under: Vreelandella stevensii
Lineage: Bacteria; Pseudomonadati; Pseudomonadota; Gammaproteobacteria; Oceanospirillales; Halomonadaceae
Description: partial 16S ribosomal RNA
Rfam family: Bacterial small subunit ribosomal RNA
Source: RNAcentral
CCUACGGGGGGCUGCAGUGGGGAAUAUUGGACAAUGGGGGGAACCCUGAUCCAGCCAUGCCGCGUGUGUGAAGAAGGCCCUCGGGUUGUAAAGCACUUUCAGUGAGGAAGAACGCCUGGUGGUUAAUACCCAUCAGGAAAGACAUCACUCACAGAAGAAGCACCGGCUAACUCCGUGCCAGCAGCCGCGGUAAUACGGAGGGUGCGAGCGUUAAUCGGAAUUACUGGGCGUAAAGCGCGCGUAGGUGGCUUGAUAAGCCGGCUGUGAAAGCCCCGGGCUCAACCUGGGAACGGCAUCCGGAACUGUCAAGCUAGAGUGCAGGAGAGGAAGGUAGAAUUCCCGGUGUAGCGGUGAAAUGCGUAGAGAUCGGGAGGAAUACCAGUGGCGAAGGCGGCCUUCUGGACUGACACUGACACUGAGGUGCGAAAGCGUGGGUAGCAAACAGGAUUAGAUACCCUUGUAGUC